Long non-coding RNA from Mya arenaria, 667 nucleotides. RefSeq lists it as uncharacterized. The transcript is spliced from 3 exons. The record is from RefSeq and is a predicted model, not a curated record. Lineage: Eukaryota; Metazoa; Mollusca; Bivalvia; Myida; Myidae.
UGUCAGAUAUCACCCUUGUAAUUGCAAAGCCCAUUAGUGUCAAGAUCAGAUCAAUAUUUGUCUUGAAAUCCGCAACAGUUGUUCAAGUGCCUAUAACUGCUCAUCAGCAGGUCAUAAAACGAAGCUUCAAGAUUGAAGGAAAAUGUCUAGAAAUUAAGAAAUUUGCGGAGGGAUAUAAUUAACCAAUAAGCAACAAUCCAGAAUGUGAUUUAUCAAUAUGACUACUAAAAUGUGAAAUAAAAUUGAUUUUGACUGAACUGUUUAGGAUACACAACUUUGAUAGUCUGCUUAAAUUUUGUUGAACUUUAUCAGUUAAUUGAAACUAAUUCCCACAAUAUUUAGCUGAAAUCAAUAAUGGAUUAUCUCGGAAUAUCUUUAUAAAACAUUUCUUUGGAAGAUGUCAUUGAUGAAGAAACCAACACGUUAGGAAUAUCCCUUGAGGAAAUGGAAACCUCUUUAAAUGCUCAGGAGUCCGAUGAACCAUUGGCUGUUGUUAGUCCAGAGGAACCCACACAGCCACUUCAUACAUCAACACCAAAGAAACCCAUACAUACAAGUAAAACAGGAAAAGGCAGACCAGUUCGGAGGUUAUUAAAGCUUAAGAAAACAGGGGAAGUGCAACGUCUACAGCAAUGUAGGAGAUGAUGUUUUCAUAGCAAUGUUUCCC